This 71-nucleotide transfer RNA is filed under the name Rafetus swinhoei (Swinhoes soft-shelled turtle). RNAcentral describes it as "tRNA-Gln". It matches the Rfam family "tRNA". From Rfam's summary of the family: Transfer RNA (tRNA) molecules are approximately 80 nucleotides in length. Their secondary structure includes four short double-helical elements and three loops (D, anti-codon, and T loops). Further hydrogen bonds mediate the characteristic L-shaped molecular structure. tRNAs have two regions of fundamental functional importance: the anti-codon, which is responsible for specific mRNA codon recognition, and the 3' end, to which the tRNAs corresponding amino acid is attached (by aminoacyl-tRNA synthetases). tRNAs cope with the degeneracy of the genetic code in two manners: having more than one tRNA (with a specific anti-codon) for a particular amino acid; and 'wobble' base-pairing, i.e. permitting non-standard base-pairing at the 3rd anti-codon position. Lineage: Eukaryota; Metazoa; Chordata; Testudines; Trionychidae. The record is from RNAcentral.
UAGGAUGUAGUAUAGUGGAAGUAUGAAGAGUUUUGAUCUCUUAGGUGUAGGUUCGAGUCCUAUUUUUCUAA